This 408-nucleotide ribosomal RNA is filed under the name uncultured bacterium. RNAcentral's name for it is "partial 16S ribosomal RNA". It matches the Rfam family "Bacterial small subunit ribosomal RNA", at positions 28 to 526 of the family's 1533-position model. The record is from RNAcentral.
GACGAACGCUGGCGGCGUGCUUAACACAUGCAAGUCGAACGAAGUGGCGAACGGGUGAGUAACGCGUAAUCAACCUGCCCAUCAGCGGGGGACAACAGUUGGAAACGACUGCUAAUACCGCAUACUGAGGGAGGGGAUUGCGUCUGCUUAGCUAGUUGGAGGGGUAACGGCCCACCAAGGGCAGUAUCAGUAGCCGGUCUGGCAGGAGGAACGGCCACAUUGGGACUGAGAAACGGCCCCGACUCCUACGGGGGGCAGCAGUGGGGAAUCUUCCGCAAUGGACGAAAGGCUGACGGAGCAACGCCGCGUGAGUGAUGACGGCCUUCGGGUUGUAAAGCUCUGUUAAUCGGGACGCGGUACCGGAAUAGAAAGCCACGGCUAACUACGUGCCAGCAGCCGCGGUAAUAC